CAAAAAGUAGCUUAUUUCACCUAAAGCAUUCAACUUACAAUUGAAAGAUGUCCACAUAGACCUAUUUGA
Molecule: transfer RNA, 69 nt
Filed under: Gekko subpalmatus
Lineage: Eukaryota; Metazoa; Chordata; Lepidosauria; Squamata; Gekkonidae
Description: tRNA-Val
Source: RNAcentral